GUCAGCGGCUCGACGCCAUUAACUCUCCGCUCCUUCUUCCUCGUCACUCAUGCUCCGGUCUACCCGGAAGUGUAAAAACUCUUACAGGUCAUGAACUCUCACACGCAAUAGAGUGGCGAAGUCCCGCCCCUUCCGGUGGACCCCAUGGGACCUCUGGGAUCGUAAAAUAUACAUGGGAUUGAAUGGACAGAAAGUAAUUAUUUUCCGGUCCCAGUCGUUAUAUGCCUUGGAUUACACACAUGUUGUUUGUGGGUUUAAAUUAUAUUUUUUCACGUCAAGAGUUUGACAGUCUAUUGUGCAAUUGUUCAGUUAAAGGCUGUAGAGAAAAAAUGAUGAGAAAGACUACAUGUUGCGUAUGUGACGUCAUGUCAUCAACUUUUCCCUCCGCUGUCAAGUGGCUAAGUCAAGGUUCCUGUAUUUCAAGAUGCUGGUGUGUUUUGUACCAGUCCUCAUUCGAGCAGGCACGGCUGUUGUUUCUUUCGGAUCCCUUCAGAUGUGAAGAAUCGCUGGCUCAAAUUGAUCCGGAACAGCUAAAGCCCCCAACCAGGACUGAUGGGCACAGGAAUUUUCAGGUCAAGUGUUUUAUUAAUUUUACUGCAUCACAGUUAGCAGUGUCAGCAUACACAGCAGUAUCUACAACUGACCAGUGACCAAAUUAAGCACUUAACAACCACGAACAUGUCCACAAGUCUCCCAGUCCCUCAAAUUGUGCACAAUGCACCACCCCAUGUCAAUCAUAUUACACGCAAUAUGUGGGAUAGUGCCUUGUGCAUAUGUUGUGACUUUUCAUCAUGGCAUUAUUAAUGCAAUUAAUUAUUUAAGCAUCAAUCAGACCUCACAUGAACGUUUACACACCAAAAAUGUAACAGCGUAGCUUUUUAAGUGAGUUUAAGUGAGCAUUAAUUCCAUUUUUAUCACAAGUUUGUUUUCUAUAUUCUCUCCUCAGCACCAUCAUAUCCUGUUCCUGUGUGUCCUGCUUGCAAGUCAGCGCCUUGGAUUUGUAUACCAUUUCAAAUAAAUUUAGUUGACUGUAGUUAUGACCUUGAGCUGUGUUUCUUUGAGUCAAAAACAAUGUUUGUGUUUAAAAACAAUCAGACACAGUCUUUAACAGAAUACACGCUUAC
RNAcentral lists this long non-coding RNA (1124 nucleotides) under Sparus aurata (gilthead seabream). RNAcentral's name for it is "lncRNA (ENSSAUG00010011014.1)". Lineage: Eukaryota; Metazoa; Chordata; Actinopteri; Spariformes; Sparidae. The record is from RNAcentral.